This 258-nucleotide ribosomal RNA is filed under the name uncultured bacterium. RNAcentral describes it as "partial 16S ribosomal RNA". It matches the Rfam family "Bacterial small subunit ribosomal RNA", at positions 96 to 354 of the family's 1533-position model. The record is from RNAcentral.
UGGCGGACGGGUGAGUAACGCGUGGGCAACCUGCCUUACACAGGGGGAUAACACUUAGAAAUAGGUGCUAAAACCGCAUAAGCGCACAGCUUCGCAUGAAGCGGUGUGAAAAACUCCGGUGGUGUAAGAUGGACCCGCGUCUGAUUAGCUUGUUGGNGGGGUAACGGCCCACCAAGGCGACGAUCAGUAGCCGGCCUGAGAGGGCGGACGGCCACAUUGGGACUGAGACACGGCCCAGACUCCUACGGAAGGCAGCAG